Molecule: long non-coding RNA, 221 nt
Filed under: Setaria italica (foxtail millet)
Lineage: Eukaryota; Viridiplantae; Streptophyta; Magnoliopsida; Poales; Poaceae
Description: long non-coding RNA (SITA_LNC005048)
Source: RNAcentral
CGAAACCAUGAAAAGUCUGGUACAAAGUACCCAUAAUGGUUAAGCUUCUCUAGGCAGGCCUCCACGACGGUCCUAUCAACAGUUACCAUAAAUGCUGCUGUGCUACCCCAUGCAGCAAUUGAGACCAUCGGGUGGCCUAUCCUGGUGACAACGAGGUGAAAUCUAGAUGUCCAACAGGUAAUUGAAAAGAGAGAUCUUUUCUUUCCAUAUUUGGUCCUACG